AGAGAGAAAGGAAGGAGAGGAAAACUGGCAGGCAGACUGGAUGACUCUGGGGAGAAGAGAGGAGGGAGGGAGGGGAGAAGGAGGGAGGGAGAUGGGAGGUAAAGAACAAGGAGGGAGGGAGAUGGGAGGUAAAGAACAAGGAGGGAGGGAGAUGGGAGGUAAAGAGGAAGGGAGUCUGGAGAGAAUGCAAAGUGAGGGAGAUGGAUAGAUGUAAAGUGGAAGAGAGGGAGAAGGGAGAGUGAGGAGAUAUGAGGGAGAGAGAGCAGGCAGAGUGAGGGAGAGAGAGAGAGCAGGCAGAGUGAGGGAGAGAGAGAGAGCAGGCAGAGUGAGGGAGAUGUAGAGAGAGCAGGCAGAGUGAGGGAGGGAGAGAGACCAGGCAGAGUGAGGGAGGGAGAGAGAGCAGGCAGAGUGAGGGAGGGAGAGAGAGCAGGCAGAGUGAGGGAGAUGUAGGGAGAGAGAGCAGGCAGAGUGAGGGAGAUGUAGGGAGAGAGAGCAGGCAGAGUGAGGGAGAUAGAGCAGGCAGAGA
Long non-coding RNA from Oncorhynchus tshawytscha (Chinook salmon), 526 nucleotides. NCBI's taxonomy places the organism in Eukaryota, Metazoa, Chordata, Actinopteri, Salmoniformes, Salmonidae. The record is from Ensembl.